RNAcentral lists this ribosomal RNA (520 nucleotides) under uncultured Glomus. RNAcentral's name for it is "SSU rRNA". It matches the Rfam family "Eukaryotic small subunit ribosomal RNA", at positions 569 to 1094 of the family's 1831-position model. Lineage: Eukaryota; Fungi; Glomeromycota; Glomeromycetes; Glomerales; Glomeraceae. The record is from RNAcentral.
CGCAGCCGCGGUAAUUCCAGCUCCAAUAGCGUAUAUUAAAGUUGUUGCAGUUAAAAAGCUCGUAGUUGAAUUUCGGGAUCAGUAUGUUGGUCGUGCUUCGGUACGUACUGUCAUUACUGGUUUCUACCUUCUGAAGAACCUUGAUGUCAUUAAUUUGGUGUCUUGGGGAAUCAGGACUGUUACUUUGAAAAAAUUAGAGUGUUUAAAGCAAGCAUACGCUUGAAUACAUUAGCAUGGAAUAAUGAAAUAGGACGUUUGAUUCUAUUUUGUUGGUUUCUAGGAUCGACGUAAUGAUUAAUAGGGAUAGUUGGGGGCAUUAGUAUUCAAUUGUCAGAGGUGAAAUUCUUGGAUUUAUUGAAGACUAACUACUGCGAAAGCAUUUGCCAAGGAUGUUUUCAUUAAUCAAGAACGAAAGUUAGGGGAUCGAAGACGAUCAGAUACCGUCGUAGUCUUAACCAUAAACUAUGCCGACUAGGGAUCGGAUGAUGUUAUUUUAAUGACUCAUUCGGCGCCUUACGGG